GUUCUCAAAUUCAGCUCAAUCCUGAAAUUUGUAUUUGAUUUGGUGGAACCCUGGGGAAAAAUAACAUUUUAUUAAAAGCAUGUUUAAGUUGGCCUUGUAUGAAAAACUUUGAGUUGAAGAAGGGCAUCCUUAACCAAUUUUCUGUUCAAUUUCACUACAGGUAAAAGCUAAAAAUUAUGACAAAGUUGAAAAGCUGUUCCAGAGGUGCCUCAUGAAAGUCUUGCACAUAGAUCUGUGGAAAUGCUAUGUGUCCUAUGUGCGGGAAACCAAACGGAAACUGCCAAGUUACAAGGAGAAAAUGGCACAGGCGUAUGACUUUGCGCUUGAUAAAAUUGGCAUGGAAAUCAUGUCCUAUCCGAUAUGGGUCGACUACAUUAAUGCAAUGAUGUAACGUUAAAGCUGAAAUCAAACCCAAUGUCGGGUCGUACAGCUGUGUGUGUGGCCAGCUUCACAUGGGUCAGUUCAACUCUAUCAGUCUGCGCUUCUCUUGAUGGAUCCAGUUUUAAGGUUUUACAUUUCUUCCUAUCACAGGACAUGAACAACGCUAAACUGUUCAGCGAUGAAGCUGCCAAUAUCUAUGAGCGGGCAAUCAGUACACUUCUAAAGAAAAACAUGUUGCUGUAUUUUGCCUACGCAGACUACGAAGAGGUCAG
Long non-coding RNA from Xenopus tropicalis (tropical clawed frog), 653 nucleotides. RefSeq lists it as uncharacterized. The transcript has 4 exons. The record is from RefSeq and is a predicted model, not a curated record. Lineage: Eukaryota; Metazoa; Chordata; Amphibia; Anura; Pipidae.